GACGAACGCUGGCGGCGUGCUUAACACAUGCAAGUCGAACGGAAAGGCCCUGCUUUUGUGGUGUGCUCGAGUGGCGAACGGGUGAGUAACACGUGAGUACCCUGCUCUUGAUUUUGGGAUAACUUCAGGAAACUGGGGCUAAUCCAGGAUAGGAUCCUCCGCUGCAUGGUGGGGGUUGGAAAGUCUCGGCGUGUGGGGAUGGACUCGCGGCUUAUCGGCUUGUUGGUGGGGGAGUGGUUGACCAAGGUUUUGAAGGAUCCCCGGCCUGGGAGGGUGACCGGCGACAUGGGUACUGAGGGAGGGCCCAGAGUCCAACGGGGGGCAGCAGUGGGAAGUAUUGCACAAUGGUCGCAAGCCGGAGGCGGCAGCGCCGGGGUCGGAAUGACGGCCUGUGGGUGGAAAACCGCUGUCGCCUGGUACGAAGCUGGAGUGACGGUAAUGGGUAAAGAAGCACCGGCUAACUACGUG
RNAcentral lists this ribosomal RNA (468 nucleotides) under uncultured bacterium. RNAcentral describes it as "partial 16S ribosomal RNA". It matches the Rfam family "Bacterial small subunit ribosomal RNA", at positions 28 to 507 of the family's 1533-position model. The record is from RNAcentral.